Molecule: ribosomal RNA, 301 nt
Filed under: uncultured bacterium
Lineage: Bacteria
Description: partial 16S ribosomal RNA
Rfam family: Bacterial small subunit ribosomal RNA
Source: RNAcentral
CAGCCGCCGCGGUAAUACAGAGGAUGCAAGCGUUAUCCGGAAUUAUUGGGCGUAAAGCGCGCGCAGGUGGUUUAAUAAGUCUGAUGUGAAAGCCCACGGCUCAACCGUGGAGGGUCAUUGGAAACUGUUAAACUUGAGUGCAGGAGAGAAAAGUGGAAUUCCUAGUGUAGCGGUGAAAUGCGUAGAGAUUAGGAGGAACACCAGUGGCGAAGGCGGCUUUUUGGCCUGUAACUGACUCUGAGGCGCGAAAGCGUGGGGAGCAAACAGGAUUAGAGACCCCUGUAGUCCCUGUCUCUUAUAC